CCGACGUCUGCGUUCGAUUGAAGCCCAUAAGUUAUCCAGUGGGCUGCUCCCCACUUGCCAUCCUCUCAACGUCCCCCUCGGGAGAUAGUCUAGAGCAAAACUCGUACUCUGGCGCACCGUGCUUGUUAAAUUACCUUCCCUCACCCAUGGCGUCCUGCUGGCAGUCGGAACCUUGCUCCUCGCCCGCCACUGCUAAUGACCGUUUUGGAUGGCGGUGAGCGAGGAUAACGUCCGAGGCAGUUUUGCCAAAAGAUCAGAUGCUUCUGAGCAACCAUCCUUCCACGGCUGUGGCCGUUUGCACGCCGGCCGGCAACUGGGCAUCCAAGUCUGAGUGUGGCCACUAACCCCAGGACCUGCGUAGCAACAUCUCGUCACGGCGAGCGUCGUCUCUGCGAGCUUCGCAUCGAGCGUCCUAAACGCUCAUCAGGUGGUCUUUGUGCAUAUUGUAGAUGGUCUAGCUGGCGAGGGUGGCGCACGCCUUAGGGAAGUUAACUGUUUUUUAAUUUUGUAAUGUAUAACUACAUUACAAAAUUGCUUAGCUGUAAGCCCGAGGUUUCGUGGGCAUGGCUUGCGGCCACAUGGGUCUUCUCCGUGCCGGAAUCGAAGAGGACGGGCCACGUAUUGCGGGGUGGCGGCGUAUAGCUUCAGGUUUUAACGGCUUAGCUCGUACUGCGCAGGCUACAGCUGAUAGCCGUCCUCUACGAGUGCGUCAGGGACAUGGACCCUUCCGAAUGACCUUGCGACCCGACCCCACCAUUUCGUGACAAGGUAGCCCGGGCGCGUCAGUGCUAUCGAGCGAAAUGUGGAAUCACGGAAGCAAACGCCAUUCGGAAAUUGCCUCGCCAGCUAUUAGCUAUUGCGGCGACCUUACGUCGCCCACGGUCUGGAGCGGAGCCCGGCCGUGCAGCAGCUACGGUGAGUGGUCCAUUUCUUUGCGGUUCCCGCUGUUCUUUUCCGGUUGUUUACUUUCCUCCUUGCGUCGCAGAUGAUGACCUUGAUCACCGCUCGUGCCGUCACCGACAGUCUCAACGCUUUUGCAUUCCCUCGCCCGGCAC
This is a non-coding RNA of Dermacentor albipictus, 1055 nucleotides long. Lineage: Eukaryota; Metazoa; Arthropoda; Arachnida; Ixodida; Ixodidae. The record is from RefSeq and is a predicted model, not a curated record.